AGCACUAUAUUUAAACCUGGAUGGAAAUUUUCCCUAUCCUAGGUUAUGCUGUAGUGCAAAAGAAUUCCUGGCUUCUUUCUGUUGCACAGCUGACUUUGUGCCAUUCUGCUGUUGCUGUAUGGAGUUAAGGAACAUAG
Molecule: small nucleolar RNA, 137 nt
Organism: Catagonus wagneri (Chacoan peccary)
Lineage: Eukaryota; Metazoa; Chordata; Mammalia; Artiodactyla; Tayassuidae
Source: Ensembl